CAACUCAAGAGGAAGACAUUAUCUCUAGGAUGAGAUUUGGGCAUACUGGUUUAGGCAGUACUUUACUUAUUACUUAUUACAGUACUGCUGAGUACUGUAGAGCAUGUUAUUGAAUACUGCUCCAAAUCUGACCAGGAGAGACAGCAACUGAUUCAGGAGCUGGAGUCAGAAAGUGUGCCUUUAAACAUAAAGACUAUCCUCCAGAAAAAUUCAGGCGAGGUUUGCUUCAGGUUUUUGUUUUAUUACUUGAGUAGAACUGGUCUGAUCAGAAGAAUUUAGAUUUUUUUUUUCUCGUGAAUAUUAAUUUAUCCAGACCCACACUCCAUUUCGGUAGGUGGCGGUAAUGCUUCCAUGCGUUGUUUGCCAACCGCCAUAAAACUAGAAAAAGAAAAAGAAGAAGAAGAAGAAGAAGAAGAAGACGAAGAAGAAAACAUCUGCUUCCGGAAGCUAAAUAAUGGAAGCUAACUACUGAACUACCGCUGGCUGGGACUUCAACUGUUGUCACCUGUGCCACAGCACCUAACUAAAACAAGUCCAGGUCAGAAAACUCUUAAAUCGUUACGGACCCGUCCUUCUCUGUCCACCCUGGCGUUUCCCUGUGUCGAUGGCAUCUAUCUCCCAAAACAAGAAAAUCAAUUCCUCCAUUAUGUCAAGGAAGAGCUGGAAACAUACCAAGAGAAGAGCAACCGCAAGAGACAUGUUAGGAUGUUACAUACCUUGACAUGUUUCGGCGUCACACCCACCACCAAGUG
Molecule: non-coding RNA, 752 nt
Organism: Epinephelus lanceolatus (giant grouper)
Lineage: Eukaryota; Metazoa; Chordata; Actinopteri; Perciformes; Serranidae
Source: RefSeq, a predicted model, not a curated record